AACAAAAAACCAAAUACGUUGCCACAUGAUCCUGUGAUAGCGACAAUGUCUCACACUGCCACCUUGAAAGCCAAUAGUUGGACUGGAGAAUAAUGUCCUGGGUAUUGCCAAAUCUGUAACUAAAAAGUACUCUGACGUUAUACAAAUAUUUAAGAAACUAAUAAUCAUGUAAUGAAGACCUUGAUGUUCUUCAGCCAAUAGCAAAGCUUUAGACUCCAGUGCUCAUUGUUGAGCGAGUGAGUGUGCUGCCAAAUUUAGGCCUUCUGAUGUUUACAAAGUUACCAUGGUAAAAAGCAAGAGAACCAACCUACAUUUGUUCAGGAAUUAAAGCAAUUAAAUGGUUCAGGGCACAUGUGAGUAUAGCUGCUCUGAAAAUGAGUGUCUUCACUGCUACAUUUGGAAAUUACUCAUUGCUUACUGCAUUUGGGAAGCUAGCAAGUAUGUGAUGCAACUGGCAACAUCAGUCAGAGAGACCAUUCACCUCUGCUGAAUCAUUUAUUUCAAUAUAACAACACAACACCUUAUUAUGCUGAGCAUCACCACGCUGAACUAAACUGAUCUAAAAUUAAAUCGAAGUCUUUGUGCAUGGUAAUGGAGGAUUAUAUUAUACAGAUACAUUACCUAAAUCGUUCGCCGGGCUGCUCAAGCGGUGGUGGUGUACAAACCAUAGAGUUGAGUUGUUGCGUGUGUGCGGGGAUUUGAUAGGUGGGGCGACCACGGCAUCGUCAAGCUGAAAAAAAUAUAACAAGCCCUUAACCGAGAAACAAUAGUCAUAUGAUGAAAUCUAUUAGCACCAUUCAAUCACGAAAAGAAAAGGCGUCAGAUGGUAUCUGCGGUUGCAUGAGAGGAAAAAAAAGGAAAUCCAAGCAGCAGUUGGAGCUCGGGCAGAGACCAAACUUAUAUCUAAUCCGGCCGAGCUGGAGCACUGUUUGUGCCUACACAUGGAUAGGAAAAAAGACCAAGACUUUGAUGCCUAUGGGUUCUUAAAAUUCUCACAGUGAAUUGGAUGGAGUAUAUAUCUAGUAGGAUUAAAUUAACUGAAUUAUUGGUUGUGCAGGAUUAAUCAAUUAACACUCAUAGUGGAUUGGAUGGAUGGAUAUAUGAAUAUGAACUAUGCACAAUAGAGAAAGGUCCGUCAAAAUAAACCAUGAAAUCACUGAAAAGUUUGUCAAUGCUAAUAAACACGAAAGAUUACCACCGGUUAGUGUAUGCAUUGGUAAAGGCGUGAGGUAUGAAUAUUUGCUAGAGGUACCUUCAAAUAGCCAGGCUCCUGAAAAAACAUAUUGCAUCUCUCGCCAUGUACAUGAGCAUGCUUCCUCAAGUCAGCCACAUUAACAAAGGUCUUGCCACAGUUGUCAUAGCUGUAGGAAGAGGAUCUUUAUGGAUGGUUCGACCUUGCACGACUGCGCCUUUGGAUCUUGCUUUUGUUGCCGCUUUCCUUCAGGUUCCUGUAGACAUCCUAUUUGAGCUCAUACAGAAUAUAUGUAGUUUGUCCGCAGAAGUCGACAUACAUUAUCCCCGGAAAAAAAUCCACAUACAGUAUGUAGUUUGGAAAAGAGUUAAGCAACAAUAUAUGUGAAGUAAAAGCGUAAGCAAGAUUUAUCUUAAUAAUAGACUAUGAAACAUUCUCAUUCAUCACACAACACUACAUAGCUGAAACUGGUGUUCACUUCCUCGACCACAUACCUGGUGCAUAUCACCUCCCCUUACUAAAAACUUCAUGAAGCACAUUAGAAAUAAAUUAAUAGUACAGACUACUUCUCAAUUAGGACGUGAGUGACAUGUAAAAGUUGUGCCUCAAAAAACUACAUGUAUCAAAGAUCUGUACUAAUUCAUCUACUCUUGCAAGCACUUAGUACUCACCUAGCAUACCUACAACAUCUACAUGAUCACACAGCAAGACAGAAUUAUAUAGAUAUAUGUAAAAAAUGUCUAUUGUGGGCAAGAGCUAUAUUUCCUACAGUAAACUGAUGAAUUGACAUAUAGAUGAGACCCAUCAGAUGCUUCAUAAGUACCUGCGCCAAAGUACGUUCAGGCGACGGCUGAUGAUCUUACGGCAAAGUCGGCGGAGGCGAUGGCAGAUUGUCUUGCGGCGAAGUCGACGGCGGCGAAGUCGACGGCGGCGAAGUCGACAGAAACGACGGCUGCGAAGUCGACGAAUACAGUAUAUUACAUUGACGUCAAAACCAAUUAAUCCACUCCACUAAAUACACCUCCUAAUUCUAUUUUGCUAGGUGCAUUAGUAUAUGUAUUCAUGUGUAUGCAAUUAUGCUAAUUGAUAACUAAAGAAAGAGCAGAAUAUAAACUUCAAGAGUUACUCCAGCAUCAUGUCCAAGAAUUACUGUAACCAAGUUGAAGCCACCAUGUUUAGGUAUAUGUAGUCAGCAACAUUAAAUUUCUUGCUUCAAUCCUUGGCUAGACAACAAUUUUUCAGAAAAAAUAUACUGAAACAGGGGCUUGUAUGGCCGAUUGGCUGAAACAUAAUGCAAAUACAUAAUAAAACAGACAACGUAGUUGGUGUAAAGACUCCAGUGCAUAUCAUCCAAACUGUAAUUGGAAGUAGCACCAAUUUUUCAGAAAAAAUAAAGGAACACAAACAAUGCAAACAAAGGAAAAUCGAUUGAAUUCAUCGAUCAUCCAGUGGUGUAACAACUAUUGUAACAUAAAAAAACAACUACUGUGAGGGGUCGAGUCAUUACAUACCUCUGAUGUAAAAAUUGCUCUGUACCAGCCAUGUGCUUUUAGAAGCCAUCACAAAUUGGUUCACAUAACAGAAGAUAAACGAAGGUUGCAAUUGAUCCCUGCUAAACCUGCUGUCUUGAAACUCCUGCACCACAAAGCAAAUAUCAGUGCACUUUUGUACUAAUCCAGACUAGAACAAAUCAAGAGAAAUAUCAAUUUUUCUGGCAAAGAGCAAGGGAACUAUCAUAAUCCUCCUCUGCCAGCAACCAGCAGCUUCCUCUGCCUGCAACCAUCGACUUCCUCCACACACAUAAACACGGACGCACAUCCAGCCGCACACAUCACACACAACCAGCCGGCCGAAGCACAACACAGAUGCCACAUAUGCCACACCCGGCAGCAUAUGUUGAGCCGCCGCCUGUGUGAUGCGAGAGGAGAGCGGGGCUGGUUGGAGAGAGAGGGAGGUGAGGGCGGCUGCUGAGACCCAAGGUUUUUGAGUCGAUGAGUCGGCGAGUCGCUCAGGGGGGGGCGACUCUAGACUAGUCGUGACUAGUCAUGACUCAUGGUCGACGAGUCGACAUGCGAUGAGUCGACGUGAGUUAAGUAGUAGGGAGCAGACCAGCGGCAACUAAGGGGGGAGCCGCAGCAGCAAGAGAUGGGAGGGGCAGACCUGCAGUAGCAGCAACCAAGGGAUGAGCAGCAGCAACCAGGGGAGAAGGGGACGAGCAGCCAGCCAGCGGCAGCGGCUGCUGCAGAAGAGAGCUGGGUCGGGGGAGGGGAGUGGAA
RNAcentral lists this long non-coding RNA (3468 nucleotides) under Triticum aestivum (bread wheat). RNAcentral's name for it is "long non-coding RNA (TAES_LNC025826)". The record is from RNAcentral. Lineage: Eukaryota; Viridiplantae; Streptophyta; Magnoliopsida; Poales; Poaceae.